UUAUAUUAUUAGUGCCUUAUAAUUAUGCAUUACAUAUUUAAUUAAUUAUUACAAUAUAUUUCGUGACUUGUAACCCGGCCUUAUAACCCUCAUUAGUGAUCUGCCACAUAAUAUUUCAUCAGUCCUUUCAUCACGCGCCCGACGUCAAAAUUCACGAAUCGGGUAUGCCCCAAAGAUCAUGGCGGAAUUGCAAUCGAAUGUUUUCGAUUUUGUGUGACUAAUAAUGUUCAUAUUUCAGUUUUUGUUUACCAGUCCGGGCUUGUGAUGGGCAUGGUUGGUUAACUGGACUUCGUUUCACAUCGUUUCUAGGUAUAAGAGAGUGUUCUCCAUCGCAUCGAAAGCGGUAAAAACUGACAAUUUUUCUACCUUUGAAGUCACCAAUCAAGUAAGUGUAAUAGUUCUGGAUACUUUUGCACUUUCACACUCAAGUACUGUUCUGGUAUAUUAAAUAAUACCAGGUAAUUGUAAUAUUUUUGUUAUAACAAAUUACAAGUUUUCUAACCGAGUAUGUGACUUUAAUACAGGAGUGUCAAUGUUUGUCAAAAUCACUUUGAUGUAAAUUUUGAUUAAGAUGUCUUGUGCAACCUGGGCUUAUCUGACAUGAUAUGUAUCCUGACUUCCAGUCUUCCAUCAUAUUGAUACAAUAUAAUUGCUGCAUGAUCCUGGGGUUUCAAAUUUGAAUUUGCUUGCAAAUGCCUAACAUAUAUAAUAGCUCUCUGUUAUGAUCAACAACUAUUAGAAAGUUUUGGAAAAAUGUCAAGAAUUCAGACCAACUCCGAAAUAGAGGUUCAUUUGCUGAUUUUCCAAACAAAUUAUGUUGAAAUCAAUCCUAUGUCCUUUUAGGAUUUUAUCAUCAUUUCCAUAUUUUCAUGCAAAUUAUUGUAUGUAUGUACCACUAUCAUUCGUCUUUGUAUGUAUUUCGGCAACAGGAAUAUAACUGCAGCCAUAAAGUUCUCAAUCUAAUUUUAUCAUUGCACAUGUGAAUGGCUGGUAACCACAAGGAGAAAGUUAUUAACUGACAAAUUUUCAAAAAUAUUUUAGUGGGCUUACAAAGAUUUUCUAAACAUCAUGCCAAGCUUGAAGGCACCAACAGAAGUUAUCAUUGGUGUGAGAGUGUCAGUUGUCAAUCUUGAGAUAAAAUAAAACUGACAACUGCUGGUAAUUUGUAAAAAAUCUGUCUUUGUUUAAUUUAUAGACAAAGCAGGCAAAAGACUAAGAAUAUUACAUUUUCUACCGAGCGCAGAGAAGACCUUAUCACAGAGGCUUUAUUCUACAAAGACUUUGCUGGUCAUAAAAGUGGAAGUGAAUUCGUGUCACCAGGCUCACUGGAUCAGAUUGAUUAAAGAGAUAAUAAAAAUUGGCUUCUUACAACUAUAAAGAUAUAGAACUGAUUGCACUGGUCUCAGAUUAUCCUAGGGGAUUUGUUGUUGUCUGUGGUGGUUAUUAGCAGAAUGCAUCUUUUCACAUCAAACAGGAGAGAGGAAUUGCUGAAAAAGAUGAUGGAAUCUUCUUUCAAUAACGUUGACGUUACGAUAAAAUAUGUCAACAUUUUAAUAACCUAUUUAACCUAUUUCUAUAGUGCGUGUGAGAAGACAUAUAGUAUAAAAUUUAUUACAGCAAUUAAAUUCUAUACACAUACUAAGCAACAUAUCUGAGAUGCAAAUUUAAUUCAACUAAUUAUAACGAGAGAUAUCUGGUAUUUGUUAUGCAAAUACUUAUAUAGAUAUAAUAACCAUAACCAUAACCGUUUUUUCUUUAUGAACUUCGUGAAAAAGAUCAAGUAAAUUAAAUAAUCAUAGCCCUUCAGCACAUGAUCUUGUACUCUAGUGGUGAGAACAAGGAUUUCCCAAUGGUAAAUCGAUGCUUCGAAUCUUACCAUAACCGUUUUUUCAUUAUGAACCUCUUGGAAAAGAUAAAG
This is a long non-coding RNA of Dendronephthya gigantea, 1918 nucleotides long. RefSeq lists it as uncharacterized. The record is from RefSeq and is a predicted model, not a curated record. The transcript has 6 exons. NCBI's taxonomy places the organism in Eukaryota, Metazoa, Cnidaria, Anthozoa, Malacalcyonacea, Nephtheidae.